CGGCGGACGGGUGAGUAAUGCCUAGGAAUCUGCUGGUAGUGGGGGAUAACGUCCGGAAACGGGCGCUAAUACCGCAUACGUCCUGAGGGAGAAAGUGGGGGAUCUUCGGACCUCACGCUAUCAGAUGAGCCUAGGUCGGAUUAGCUAGUUGGUGGGGUAAAGGCCUACCAAGGCGACGAUCCGUAACUGGUCUGAGAGGAUGAUCAGUCACACUGGAACUGAGACACGGUCCAG
This 234-nucleotide ribosomal RNA is filed under the name uncultured bacterium. RNAcentral describes it as "partial 16S ribosomal RNA". It matches the Rfam family "Bacterial small subunit ribosomal RNA", at positions 96 to 334 of the family's 1533-position model. The record is from RNAcentral.